Long non-coding RNA from Triticum aestivum (bread wheat), 1263 nucleotides. RefSeq lists it as uncharacterized. NCBI's taxonomy places the organism in Eukaryota, Viridiplantae, Streptophyta, Magnoliopsida, Poales, Poaceae. The record is from RefSeq and is a predicted model, not a curated record. The transcript has 4 exons.
UGCUCAAAAAAAAAAGAAAGAAAAGAGAAAAAAAAGGAAACGUCGCUCUCCCCUUCCUCCCAUCGCCUCCAGGUCUCCAGUGCUCCAUCCGCCAUCGCCUCCAGUGCUCCCGCCGCCAUCGCCGGCGCACGGCACUGACCGGAAAACACGCUCUCAGCUAGGCGCCAGCACCGCCGCCGCUUCCAGGUUCGGAGCGCGCUUGACCGGCAGCAGGCCUCCAUUGCCCCGGCCAGGUCGCAGGUGUAGCUCCAAGAACAGGUGUUCUGUGGCGUGUAUUGAUGGCCAAUAGCGAGUUCGAGUAUGUGAAGAGGGAAUUCGAGUUCGACCAUCACCUCCCGGCCUCCAACUGGAUCAUUGUCUGCUUAGAUGGCUGUCAUUUCCACCGUUUUGUUUUCAGAGAGGGAACAGAAUUCUGUCAAAGACUUCUCUACCAAUAAUUGCAGCAAAAUUCUCUCUUUGUGUGUUUCUUACAUCACACCUGUGUAUGUGAUGAAGUUGAAAGAUUUCUUUCCAAAUAAAGAGUUGAGAGAGGCUCCAUAUUUUGAUGGGCGAGUUGUAUGCUAUCCAAAUAUGAAGACCAUUCGUGAUUAUUUGGCAUGGAGGCAACUGGACUGUAGAAACAACGCUGAAAAUUGACGAUUAUGGGAAUCUUAUAAAAAGAACCCGGUUGGCAAUUACAGUGUCAAUUUUUGAUAUCAUAGGACAUGAGUUUCGAGAAAAACAUCAAAACAUUCUUCGAGAAGGUUAGUUGAAUCAUUAUAGUUUUAGCAAUGCUUCCAGUCCAGCUCCAGUCAACUUUUGAUACAUACAACCAGUACUGUACUGUAUACAACAUCGGUCUAACUGUGUGUUUGGGAGAAGAAAAAUAUAGAUACGAAUAUAUUAUAGAAGUACGAAUACAUCCAUAGGCUUCCAUGUUGUAAUUGAACUGUUGUUCAUAUCAGCGCCUGCCAAAUUGAUCAGUGAGGACCCCUAGUUUCCUAUUUAUGGAAUGUAUAUGCUCCAAUGCCAUUUACAGUUUCUUGUCGACAGUAGUACAAUAUGUAACAUCUGAAUUUAUCUGUUCAUCUACACCAGUAUGUAUGGUAGGACUAGGGUUCCUACCGGCUCUACUCCGUAGGUUAUACGGGCAGAACAGCGAGGGUUGGGGGCGAGGGCGGCGGCUCCGGCGUGUUGGCGCCGUCGCGAGGGAGAAGAAGGGCGGCGGCGGCUAGGGCAAGGUGCGGCUAGGGUUUCCGGCUCCUCUGGAGCCGGGCAAUAUGA